This 440-nucleotide ribosomal RNA is filed under the name uncultured bacterium. Its description in RNAcentral is "partial 16S ribosomal RNA". It matches the Rfam family "Bacterial small subunit ribosomal RNA", at positions 338 to 795 of the family's 1533-position model. The record is from RNAcentral.
CCUACGGGAGGCAGCAGUGGGGAAUAUUGCACAAUGGGGGAAACCCUGAUGCAGCGACGCCGCGUGAGUGAAGAAGUAAUUCGUUAUGUAAAGCUCUAUCAGCAGGGAAGAAAAUGACGGUACCUGAGUAAGAAGCCCCGGCUAACUACGUGCCAGCGGCCGCGGGACUACGUAGGGGGCAAGCGUGAUCCGGAUUUACUGGGUGUUAAGGGAGCGUAGACGGGAGUGCAAGUCUGGAGUGAAAGGCGGGGGUUCAACCCCCGGACUGCUGUUGAAACUGUACGGCUGGAGUGAAGGAGAGGUAAGUGGAAUGCCGAGUGUAGCGGUGAAAUGCGUAGAUAUUGGGAGGAACACCAGUGGCGAAGGCGGCGUACUGGACUGUAACUGACGUUGAGGCUCGAAAGCGUGGGUAGCAAACAGGAUUAGAUACCCCAGUAGUC